GGCUCAGAUUGAACGCUGGCGGCAGGCCUAACACAUGCAAGUCGAGCGGCAGCACGGGUACUUGUACCUGGUGGCGAGCGGCGGACGGGUGAGUAAUGCCUAGGAAUCUGCCUGGUAGUGGGGGAUAACGUUCGGAAACGAACGCUAAUACCGCAUACGUCCUACGGGAGAAAGCAGGGGACCUUCGGGCCUUGCGCUAUCAGAUGAGCCUAGGUCGGAUUAGCUAGUUGGUGAGGUAAUGGCUCACCAAGGCGACGAUCCGUAACUGGUCUGAGAGGAUGAUCAGUCACACUGGAACUGAGACACGGUCCAGACUCCUACGGGAGGCAGCAGUGGGGAAUAUUGGACAAUGGGCGAAAGCCUGAUCCAGCCAUGCCGCGUGUGUGAAGAAGGUCUUCGGAUUGUAAAGCACUUUAAGUUGGGAGGAAGGGCAGUUACCUAAUACGUAAUUGUUUUGACGUUACCGACAGAAUAAGCACCGGCUAACUCUGUGCCAGCAGCCGCGGUAAUACAGAGGGUGCAAGCGUUAAUCGGAAUUACUGGGCGUAAAGCGCGCGUAGGUGGUUCGUUAAGUUGGAUGUGAAAUCCCCGGGCUCAACCUGGGAACUGCAUUCAAAACUGUCGAGCUAGAGUAUGGUAGAGGGUGGUGGAAUUUCCUGUGUAGCGGUGAAAUGCGUAGAUAUAGGAAGGAACACCAGUGGCGAAGGCGACCACCUGGACUGAUACUGACACUGAGGU
This 738-nucleotide ribosomal RNA is filed under the name Pseudomonas frederiksbergensis. RNAcentral's name for it is "partial 16S ribosomal RNA". It matches the Rfam family "Bacterial small subunit ribosomal RNA", at positions 21 to 752 of the family's 1533-position model. The record is from RNAcentral. RNAcentral also lists the same sequence under 2 other names. Lineage: Bacteria; Pseudomonadati; Pseudomonadota; Gammaproteobacteria; Pseudomonadales; Pseudomonadaceae.